Ictalurus punctatus (channel catfish) is the source of this 665-nucleotide long non-coding RNA. The record is from Ensembl. Lineage: Eukaryota; Metazoa; Chordata; Actinopteri; Siluriformes; Ictaluridae.
UUACUAGUAGAAGUAAUAGCAGUAGUAGUAUUACUGGUAGAAGUAAUAGCAGUAGUAGUAUUACUAGUAGAAGUAAUAGCAGUAGUAGUAUUACUGGUAGAAGUAAUAGCAGUAGUAGUAUUACUAGUAGAAGUAAUAGCAGUAGUAGUAUUACUAGUAGAAGUAAUAGCAGUAGUAGUAUUACUAGUAGAAGUAAUAGCAGUAGUAGUAUUACUAGUAGAAGUAAUAGCAGUAGUAGUAUUACUAGUAGAAGUAAUAGCAGUCGUAUUAUUACUAGUAGAAGUAAUAGCCAUAGAAGUAUUACUAGUAGAAGUAAUAGCAGUAGUAGUAUUACUAGUAGAAGUAAUAGCAGUAGUAGUAUUACUAGUAGAAGUAAUAGCAGUAGUAGUAUUACUAGUAGAAGUAAUAGCAAGUAGUAGUAUUACUGGUAGAAGUAAUAGCAGUAGUAUUAUUACUGGUAGAUAUAAUAGCAGUAGUAGUUUUAUUUUUAUUAAUGCUUCAGCUUGAAGACCGUUAGUGUUUCUGAAAUGCGUACCAAAAUUUCCCCUCAGGGAUCAAUAAAGCACAUCCUUCCAUCCUUAUCUUCCUCUCUUUCUCUUCCAUUCUAUCUCUCCGCUUUCUCAUUUUUCCUCUUUCUCACUUCUGCCUCUAUCGUCUUUUCUUUU